AGUGAACGCUGGCGGUAGGCCUAACACAUGCAAGUCGAACGGCAGCACAGUAAGAGCUUGCUCUUACGGGUGGCGAGUGGCGGACAGGUGAGGAAUACAUCGGAAUCUACUUUUUCGUGGGGGAUAACGUAGGGAAACUUACGCUAAUACCGCAUACGACCUACGGGUGAAAGCAGGGGAUCUUCGGACCUUGCGCGAUUGAAUGAGCCGAUGUCGGAUUAGCUAGUUGGCGGGGUAAAGGCCCACCAAGGCGACGAUCCGUAGCUGGUCUGAGAGGAUGAUCAGCCACACUGGAACUGAGACACGGCCCAGACUCCUACGGGAGGCAGCAGUGGGGAAUAUUGGACAAUGGGCGCAAGCCUGAUCCAGCCAUACCGCGUGGGUGAAGAAGGCCUUCGGGUUGUAAAGCCCUUUUGUUGGGAAAGAAAAGCAGCAGGUUAAUACCCCGCUGUUCUGACGGUACCCAAAGAAUAAGCACCGGCUAACUUCGU
Molecule: ribosomal RNA, 491 nt
Filed under: uncultured bacterium
Lineage: Bacteria
Description: partial 16S ribosomal RNA
Rfam family: Bacterial small subunit ribosomal RNA
Source: RNAcentral